Molecule: ribosomal RNA, 411 nt
Filed under: Candidatus Williamhamiltonella defendens
Lineage: Bacteria; Pseudomonadati; Pseudomonadota; Gammaproteobacteria; Enterobacterales; Enterobacteriaceae
Description: bacterial SSU rRNA
Rfam family: Bacterial small subunit ribosomal RNA
Source: RNAcentral
GUCGAGCGGCAUCGAGUGAGCGCAGUUUACUGAGUUCAUGUCGGCGAGCGGCGGACGGGUGAGUAAAGUCUGGGAAUCUGGCCGAAGGAGGGGGAUAACUGCUGGAAACGGCAGCUAAUACCGCAUGAAGUCGCGAGACCAAAGUGGGGGACCUUCGGGCCUCACGCCUUCGGAUGAGCCCAGAUGAGAUUAGCUGGUAGGUAAGGUAAAGGCUUACCUAGGCGACGAUCUCUAGCGGGUCUGAGAGGAUAGCCCGCCACACUGGAACUGAGACACGGUCCAGACUCCUACGGGAGGCAGCAGUGGGGAAUAUUGCACAAUGGGCGAAAGCCUGAUGCAGCCAUGCCACGUGUGUGAAGAAGGCCUUCGGGUUGUAAAGCACUUUCAGCGAGGAGGAAGCGAUAAAUGCCA